AGAAAUUUACAUUCAAACAUGUAAACUUUGCGUUGGUAGCGAUAACUUCUGAUAUCCAGGGUUAGUCGCUUGAUUUAUGGCAGAUUUCGCUGCGCUUAGAUAACAUAUUUGCAGUUUACAGACUUAUUGUAAUCGUAUGAUAGCAUUAGCCUCUGAUUUCCAGGGUUAAUAGCUUAUCUUGAACUUCCCCUUUUCAUAUAUGGUCUGCCACCUCAAACAUAUUCGGCGAUCAUCAUAUAACAUUUUCAAAGACACAUAUGCAUUUUUAUCAGUUAAUUUUAGUUCAUAGAUCUACAUGUAUCACAAAUUGCAUUUCAUAUAAUAGUACAUAUAUCAUAUCACAAAUUGCAUUUCAUAUAAUAGUACAUAUAUCAUAUCUGUUAAUAAAUGCUGUGGCCAUUUCCUGC
Molecule: long non-coding RNA, 407 nt
Filed under: Mytilus galloprovincialis (Mediterranean mussel)
Lineage: Eukaryota; Metazoa; Mollusca; Bivalvia; Mytilida; Mytilidae
Source: RNAcentral